Molecule: unclassified non-coding RNA, 262 nt
Filed under: plant metagenome
Description: partial contains small subunit ribosomal RNA, internal transcribed spacer 1, and 5.8S ribosomal RNA
Source: RNAcentral
UCUCCGUUGGUGAACCAGCGGAGGGAUCAUUACCGAGUUUACAACUCCCAAACCCCUAUGUGAACGUUACCAAACUGUUGCCUCGGCGGGAAAUUCAUGCCCCGGGCGCGUCGCAGCCCCGGACCAAGGCGCCCGCCGGAGGACCUACCAAAACUCUUUUGUAUGUCCCUCGCGGACUUUUAUAAUUCUGAACCAUCUCGGCGCCCCUAGCGGGCGUUUCGAAAAUGAAUCAAAACUUUCAACAACGGAUCUCUUGGUUCUG